This 301-nucleotide ribosomal RNA is filed under the name uncultured bacterium. RNAcentral describes it as "partial 16S ribosomal RNA". It matches the Rfam family "Bacterial small subunit ribosomal RNA", at positions 509 to 807 of the family's 1533-position model. The record is from RNAcentral.
CAGUAGCCGCGGGAAUACGAAGGGGGCUAGCGUUGUUCGGAUUUACUGGGCGUAAAGCGCACGUAGGCGGAUCGAUCAGUUAGGGGUGAAAUCCUGGAGCUCAACUCCAGAACUGCCUUUGAUACUGUCGAUCUCGAGUCCGGAAGAGGUGAGUGGAACUCCUAGUGUAGAGGUGGAAUUCGUAGAUAUUAGGAAGAACACCAGUGGCGAAGGCGGCUCACUGGUCCGGUACUGACGCUGAGGUGCGAAAGCGUGGGGAGCAAACAGGAUUAGAUACCCGUGUAGUCCCUGUCUCUUAUAC